Molecule: ribosomal RNA, 2541 nt
Filed under: human gut metagenome
Description: bacterial LSU rRNA
Rfam family: Bacterial large subunit ribosomal RNA
Source: RNAcentral
UUAAGCGACUAAGCGUACACGGUGGAUGCCCUGGCAGUCAGAGGCGAUGAAGGACGUGCUAAUCUGCGAUAAGCGUCGGUGAGGUGAUAUGAACCGUUAUAACCGGCGAUUUCCGAAUGGGGAAACCCAGUGUGAUUCGUCACACUAUCAUUAACUGAAUCCAUAGGUUAAUGAGGCGAACCGGGGGAACUGAAACAUCUAAGUACCCCGAGGAAAAGAAAUCAACCGAGAUUCCCCCAGUAGCGGCGAGCGAACGGGGAGGAGCCCAGAGCCUGAAUCAGUGUGUGUGUUAGUGGAAGCGUCUGGAAAGGCGCGCGAUACAGGGUGACAGCCCCGUACACAAAAAUGCACAUACUGUGAGCUCGAUGAGUAGGGCGGGACACGUGGUAUCCUGUCUGAAUAUGGGGGGACCAUCCUCCAAGGCUAAAUACUCCUGACUGACCGAUAGUGAACCAGUACCGUGAGGGAAAGGCGAAAAGAACCCCGGCGAGGGGAGUGAAAAAGAACCUGAAACCGUGUACGUACAAGCAGUGGGAGCCUCUUAAUGGGGUGACUGCGUACCUUUUGUAUAAUGGGUCAGCGACUUAUAUUCUGUAGCAAGGUUAACCGAAUAGGGGAGCCGAAGGGAAACCGAGUCUUAACUGGGCGUUAAGUUGCAGGGUAUAGACCCGAAACCCGGUGAUCUAGCCAUGGGCAGGUUGAAGGUUGGGUAACACUAACUGGAGGACCGAACCGACUAAUGUUGAAAAAUUAGCGGAUGACUUGUGGCUGGGGGUGAAAGGCCAAUCAAACCGGGAGAUAGCUGGUUCUCCCCGAAAGCUAUUUAGGUAGCGCCUCGUGAAUUCAUCUCCGGGGGUAGAGCACUGUUUCGGCAAGGGGGUCAUCCCGACUUACCAACCCGAUGCAAACUGCGAAUACCGGAGAAUGUUAUCACGGGAGACACACGGCGGGUGCUAACGUCCGUCGUGAAGAGGGAAACAACCCAGACCGCCAGCUAAGGUCCCAAAGUCAUGGUUAAGUGGGAAACGAUGUGGGAAGGCCCAGACAGCCAGGAUGUUGGCUUAGAAGCAGCCAUCAUUUAAAGAAAGCGUAAUAGCUCACUGGUCGAGUCGGCCUGCGCGGAAGAUGUAACGGGGCUAAACCAUGCACCGAAGCUGCGGCAGCGACACUAUGUGUUGUUGGGUAGGGGAGCGUUCUGUAAGCCUGUGAAGGUGGCCUGUGAGGGUUGCUGGAGGUAUCAGAAGUGCGAAUGCUGACAUAAGUAACGAUAAAGCGGGUGAAAAGCCCGCUCGCCGGAAGACCAAGGGUUCCUGUCCAACGUUAAUCGGGGCAGGGUGAGUCGACCCCUAAGGCGAGGCCGAAAGGCGUAGUCGAUGGGAAACAGGUUAAUAUUCCUGUACUUGGUGUUACUGCGAAGGGGGGACGGAGAAGGCUAUGUUGGCCGGGCGACGGUUGUCCCGGUUUAAGCGUGUAGGCUGGUUUUCCAGGCAAAUCCGGAAAACCAAGGCUGAGGCGUGAUGACGAGGCACUACGGUGCUGAAGCGACAAAUGCCCUGCUUCCAGGAAAAGCCUCUAAGCUUCAGGUAACAUCAAAUCGUACCCCAAACCGACACAGGUGGUCAGGUAGAGAAUACCAAGGCGCUUGAGAGAACUCGGGUGAAGGAACUAGGCAAAAUGGUGCCGUAACUUCGGGAGAAGGCACGCUGAUAUGUAGGUGAAGCGACUUGCUCGUGGAGCUGAAAUCAGUCGAAGAUACCAGCUGGCUGCAACUGUUUAUUAAAAACACAGCACUGUGCAAACACGAAAGUGGACGUAUACGGUGUGACGCCUGCCCGGUGCCGGAAGGUUAAUUGAUGGGGUUAGCGGUAACGCGAAGCUCUUGAUCGAAGCCCCGGUAAACGGCGGCCGUAACUAUAACGGUCCUAAGGUAGCGAAAUUCCUUGUCAGGUAAGUUCUGACCCGCACGAAAGGCGUAACGAUUUGGGCGCUGUCUCAGCUGUAGACUCGGUGAAGUCUUAGUACCUGUGAAGAUGCAGGUUACCCGCGACUAGACGGAAAGACCCCAUGGAGCUUUACUGUAGCCUGAUAUUGAAUUUUGAUCAAAGAUGUACAGGAUAGGUGGGAGGCGAAGAGACGUGUACGCCAGUAUACGAGGAGCCGCUGUUGGGAUACCACUCUUGUUUGAUUGAAGUUCUAACCUGCACCCAUGAACUGGGUGAGGGACCGUGUCAGGUGGGCAGUUUGACUGGGGCGGUCGCCUCCUAAAGAGUAACGGAGGCGCCCAAAGGUACGCUCAGAUUGGAUGGAAAUCAAUCGACGAGUGCAAAUGCAGAAGCGUGCUUGACUGUGAGACAAACAAGUCGAACAGGGACGAAAGUCGGGAUUAGUGAUCCGGCGGUGCCGAAUGGAAGGGCCGUCGCUCAACGGAUAAAAGCUACCCUGGGGAUAACAGGCUGAUCUCCCCCAAGAGUUCACAUCGACGGGGAGGUUUGGCACCUCGAUGUCGGCUCAUCGCAUCCUGGGGCUGUAGUAGGUCCCAAG